CUGACCUACGGGAGGCAGCAGUGAGGAAUAUUGGUCAAUGGGCGGAAGCCUGAACCAGCCAAGUCGCGUGAGGGAAUAAGGCCCUACGGGUCGUAAACCUCUUUUGCCGGGGAGCAAGGGCGGGGACGUGUCCCGGCCCGGAGAGUACCCGGAGAAAAAGCACCGGCUAACUCCGUGCCAGCAGCCGCGGUAAUACGGAGGAUGCGAGCGUUAUCCGGAUUUAUUGGGUUUAAAGGGUGCGUAGGCGGGCUUUUAAGUCAGCGGUAAAAUCGCGGGGCUCAACCUCGCUCCGCCGUUGAAACUGG
Molecule: ribosomal RNA, 305 nt
Filed under: uncultured bacterium
Lineage: Bacteria
Description: bacterial SSU rRNA
Rfam family: Bacterial small subunit ribosomal RNA
Source: RNAcentral